CGGACGGGUGAGUAACACGUGGAAAACCUGCCGUAUACUGGGGGAUAACACUUAGAAAUAGGUGCUAAUACCGCAUAAGCGCACAGCUUCGCAUGAAGCGGUGUGAAAAACUCUGGUGGUAUACGAUGGUUCCGCGUCUGAUUAGCUAGUUGGUGGGGUAAUGGCCUACCAAGGCAACGAUCAGUAGCCGGCCUGAGAGGGUGAACGGCCACAUUGGGACUGAGACACGGCCCAAACUCCUACGGAAGGCAGCAG
Molecule: ribosomal RNA, 255 nt
Filed under: uncultured bacterium
Lineage: Bacteria
Description: partial 16S ribosomal RNA
Rfam family: Bacterial small subunit ribosomal RNA
Source: RNAcentral